AAUAGAUACCCGGGUAGUCCACGCCGUAAACGAUGAGUGCUAAGUGUUAGAGGGUUUCCGCCCUUUAGUGCUGCAGCUAACGCAUUAAGCACUCCGCCUGGGGAGUACGGCCGCAAGGCUGAAACUCAAAGGAAUUGACGGGGGCCCGCACAAGCGGUGGAGCAUGUGGUUUAAUUCGAAGCAACGCGAAGAACCUUACCAGGUCUUGACAUCCUCUGCCAACCCUAGAGAUAGGGCGUUCCCCUUCGGGGGGACAGAGUGACAGGUGGUGCAUGGUUGUCGUCAGCUCGUGUCGUGAGAUGUUGGGUUAAGUCCCGCAACGAGCGCAACCCUUGAUCUUAGUUGCCAGCAUUCAGUUGGGCACUCUAAGGGUGACUGCCGGUGACAAACCGGAGGAAGGUGGGGAUGACGGUCAAAUCAUCAUGCCCCUUAUGACCUGGGCUACACACGUGCUACAAUGGAUGGUACAAAGAGCUGCGAACCCGCGAGGGUAAGCCAAUCUCAAUAAAGCCAUUCUCAGGUUCGGAUUUGAGG
This 534-nucleotide ribosomal RNA is filed under the name uncultured bacterium. RNAcentral's name for it is "bacterial SSU rRNA". It matches the Rfam family "Bacterial small subunit ribosomal RNA", at positions 777 to 1304 of the family's 1533-position model. The record is from RNAcentral.